Pteropus alecto (black flying fox) is the source of this 121-nucleotide non-coding RNA. The record is from Rfam. NCBI's taxonomy places the organism in Eukaryota, Metazoa, Chordata, Mammalia, Chiroptera, Pteropodidae.
ACCCACUAGGCCAUGCCACCCUGAACAAGCCCGAUCCCGUCUGAUCUCGGAAGCUAAGCAGGGUCAGGCCUGGUUAGUACUUGGAUGGGAGACCACCUAGGAAGACCAGGCGCUGUAGGCA